UUGUACAGGGGGAUAACAGUUGGAAACGGCUGCUAAUACCGCAUAAGCGCACGGCAUCGCAUGAUGCAGUGUGAAAAACUCCGGUGGUAUAAGAUGGACCCGCGUUGGAUUAGCUAGUUGGUGAGGUAACGGCCCACCAAGGCGACGAUCCAUAGCCGACCUGAGAGGGUGACCGGCCACAUUGGGACUGAGACACGGCCCAAACUCCUACGGGAGGCAGCAGUGGGGAAUAUUGCACAAUGGGCGAAAGCCUGAUGCAGCGACGCCGCGUGAGCGAAGAAGUAUUUCGGUAUGUAAAGCUCUAUCAGCAGGGAAGAUAAUGACGGUACCUGACUAAGAAGCACCGGCUAAAUACGUGCCAGCAGCCGCGGUAAUACGUAUGGUGCAAGCGUUAUCCGGAUUUACUGGGUGUAAAGGGAGCGCAGGCGGUGCGGCAAGUCUGAUGUGAAAGCCCGGGGCUCAACCCCGGUACUGCAUUGGAAACUGUCGUACUAGAGUGUCGGAGGGGUAAGCGGAAUUCCUAGUGUAGCGGUGAAAUGCGUAGAUAUUAGGAGGAACACCAGCGGCGAAGGCGGCUUACUGGACGAUAACUGACGCUGAGGCUCGAAAGCGUGGGG
Molecule: ribosomal RNA, 617 nt
Filed under: uncultured bacterium
Lineage: Bacteria
Description: bacterial SSU rRNA
Rfam family: Bacterial small subunit ribosomal RNA
Source: RNAcentral